GACGAACGCUGGCGGCGUGCUUAACACAUGCAAGUCGAACGAAGUGGCGAACGGGUGAGUAACGCGUAAUCAACCUGCCCUUCAGAGGGGGACAACAGUUGGAAACGACUGCUAAUACCGCAUAGUGAAGGAGGGGAUUGCGUUUGAUUAGCUCGUUGGAGGGGUAACGGCCCACUAAGGCGAUGAUCAGUAGCCGGUUCGGUAGGAUGAACGGGCAAAGUGGGACUGGGACACGGCCCAGACCCCUACGGGAGGCAGCAGUUGGGAAUCUUCCGCAAUGGACGAAAGUCUGACGAAGCAACGCCGCGGGAGUGAUGACGGCCUUCGGGUUGUAAAGCUCUUUUAAUCGGGACGCGGUACCGGAAUAGAAAGCCACGGCUAACUACGUGCCAGCCGCCGCGGUAAUAC
This 408-nucleotide ribosomal RNA is filed under the name uncultured bacterium. Its description in RNAcentral is "partial 16S ribosomal RNA". It matches the Rfam family "Bacterial small subunit ribosomal RNA", at positions 28 to 526 of the family's 1533-position model. The record is from RNAcentral.